This 482-nucleotide ribosomal RNA is filed under the name uncultured bacterium. Its description in RNAcentral is "partial 16S ribosomal RNA". It matches the Rfam family "Bacterial small subunit ribosomal RNA", at positions 28 to 507 of the family's 1533-position model. The record is from RNAcentral.
GAUGAACGCUAGCGGCAGGCCUAAUACAUGCAAGUCGAACGAGAUUAAGAGGCUUGCUUCUUAUGAAAGUGGCGCACGGGUGCGUAACGCGUAUGCAACCUACCUUAAUCAGGGGGAUAGCCCGAAGAAAUUCGGAUUAAGACCGCAUAAAAACACAGGAUAGCAUUAUCCAAUGUUCAAAUAUUUAUAGGAUUAAGAUGGGCAUGCGUGUCAUUAGCUAGUUGGCGGGGUAACGGCCCACCAAGGCGACGAUGACUAGGGGAUCUGAGAGGAUGACCCCCCACACUGGUACUGAGACACGGACCAGACUCCUAUGGGAGGCAGCAGUAAGGAAUAUUGGUCAAUGGAGGGAACUCUGAACCAGCCAUGCCGCGUGCAGGAAGACAGCCCUCUGGGUCGUAAACUGCUUUUAUUCGGGAAUAAACCUUUCUACGUGUAGGAAGCUGAAUGUACCGAAGGAAUAAGGAUCGGCUAACUCCGUG